RNAcentral lists this ribosomal RNA (301 nucleotides) under uncultured bacterium. Its description in RNAcentral is "partial 16S ribosomal RNA". It matches the Rfam family "Bacterial small subunit ribosomal RNA", at positions 509 to 807 of the family's 1533-position model. The record is from RNAcentral.
CAGUAGCCGCGGGAAUACGUAGGGUGCAAGCGUUAAUCGGAAUUACUGGGCGUAAAGCGUGCGCAGGCGGUUUGUUAAGACAGAUGUGAAAUCCCCGGGCUCAACCUGGGAACUGCAUUUGUGACUGGCGAGCUAGAGUGUGGCAGAGGGGGGUGGAAUUCCGCGUGUAGCAGUGAAAUGCGUAGAUAUGCGAAGGAACACCUAUGGCGAAGGCAGCCCCCUGGGCCAACACUGACGCUCAUGCACGAAAGCGUGGGGAGCAAACAGGAUUAGAUACCCCGGUAGUCCCUGUCUCUUAUAC